Long non-coding RNA from Scophthalmus maximus (turbot), 969 nucleotides. RefSeq lists it as uncharacterized. The transcript is spliced from 3 exons. Lineage: Eukaryota; Metazoa; Chordata; Actinopteri; Pleuronectiformes; Scophthalmidae. The record is from RefSeq and is a predicted model, not a curated record.
CCGCUCACACAGGUCGUCGUUUAUUAUCCUGGACGGGAGGUUCCAGCUUCAUCUGAGCCUCGUCUGUUUGUUAAUCAGCAGCAGAAACGACCGGAGUGAUUUCUGUGGAACGUGGAGGAGGUGUUGACCGGAGCCGAUCCAGACAAACAGUUUCCGCUCCAUGAUUAAAAACUAGAAUCUACGAGAUCCAGACUUUUAUUUGGAUUCACACAAAUUCUAACACAUUCGCAGUAAAAUCUAGAUCCGUGAAUUAUUCUCUGUGGUGUCAGUCACAGUAGUAACCAGGGUCCGGUCUGACCCCGACCCUUCUGACAGUUCCCUCCGAAUGACGGAGUAACUCCUCCUGCGGGCCAGUAGGUGGCGCUCUGCCAACGUACUUCUACUUCCGGUUGACUUUUGUCAAAGUCACAACAACGUGGGAAGCGGAGGAGAACGUGGACGACCUCUCGUACCUUCUCCACGCCUCGUGACGAUCACGACUCCCCCGUUACUGAGGAGUUAUCUAGGUCCGUCAACUGGGUCGGAUCUUCAUGAAGCUUCAGGAACGUUUCCUGCGUCAUGAUGAGGAAAUACAAAGUUGGUGUGUUGUUCCUGGUCUGACCGCAGCUGGAUUUCCUCCGUCUCACGUCCGGAUCGUUUUCAAGUCCGGCGUGUUUCUGUCUGGCCGCUCGUCGAGCUCUGACCCGUCCCGGCGGUUCUGAGGAGACGUCUGACAGUGAGACGGCGUGACAGGCGAGCGGAGUGAGUGAGACGGGUUCAUCUGGAGACAGACUCCUUCUCGCAGCUGCUGCAGCCGACAGUCUAUAACAGAAUGUAAAUGAAGUGGUCUGAGCCAACAAACCUCCACUUUCUCUCUAUCAUGAAUAAAUAUUAGUCGUUCUCACUCUCCGGCCCCGAGCUGCUUGUUCUCCCACAAUGCCCGGCGGCAGCGGCCGCGGCACAUUCCUCGCUUCCUGUUGCUACACUGAG